UGGGGCCGAAGCAGCUGUAGAUCAAGGUCUAUGAGAUGCACGUCCGAGACACAGACCUGCAAACUUCUCUUUGCAUGUGCUUCACAAUAUCCACUAAAAGUCAGCCAAGGGAGCAAAAUCUUGACCACUCCACCUGUUAGACCACGUGCAGUGUAAGAUAAGAUACCCGUGUUCAGCUGGAUCUUAUUUCCAGACCUGCUUUUCGUCCCUGCCUCUCUCCUAGAGCGGUUGUGCUCAGCAGGGACUCACGCUCAUGGGCUCCGCACCCCGUCCCUGCCCCUGCCCCUGCAGAUGAGGAGCUGUGCUCCAGCCUCGCCUGCUCCUCCCCAGCCAGAACCAUUGGGUUAGUGAAAGAAACCUUCCUCAGGGGUUAAGCUGUAAAGAGGCAACCCCCCCGCCCCCACAGUACCGUGCGAUGGUUAGGCUUAAAAUGAUCUUCCAGAUCACAUUUUGUAAAUUACACCGUUGUCAUUUACAGUAGGUGGCAGUUCAAUGACUUUUAAUUGCUAUUAGUCAUGCAGCCCAUUAUAUUGUGGAGCAACGUGUGUGCUCCCACUCACGGCACGUGGUGCUAUGGCUCCUGUUCGCAUCGGAAGAAAGCUGCAUCCCGCUCAGAGAAACGUAUUUUAUUCUUUAUAUGCAUAAAGAAGUUCAUACUGUCCUCGAGUGAUGGGUUUCAUUCUGUUAGGCAUAAGACCCUUUGGUUUGCUCUGGUUUUUAGUCUGAGCUUAAAAGUGAGCUUCUGCUUCUUGUCACGUUAUUUUUCAAGUCCGAAGAGCUUUUCACUAACACCAGAGAUUAAUUGCCGCACAGGGAUGUGGGACAGCCAGGAAUACCAGGCUUGGACUACCGGACACAUUGGCCCUUCAUUAUCAGCGCUAAUGUUAUCAGUUUCCUGUGAAGCUUCCUGUAAAAUCAUGGAUUUCUUGAGGUAUGGCCUGAGGGAAGGGUUGAUACCAUGAUUUUUUUUAAUGUCAUGACAUCGUAAUUCCUUUACUCAGCACUUUAAUAGACAGGAAGUGAUGAGAUCUUCUUCCUGGAAAAAUGCUUUUGAAUACCUGACUUGAAAUGUGUUUAAGAAAUAUGCUCAAGAAUUUCUGAAAACCCAUCCCUUUGGGUUUCUCAAACUCACUGUUUUGUUCUGCGGGCUCCUGCCUACCUGUCCAGGCUUUCUGCAGCUUCAGUUCAUUACCCAAUUCUCCCAACACCCAUGUGGGAGAGGUGAUUACUACAGCAGAGAGAAAGACAAAAAUACUCACUCCAGGCCCACAGAAGGGAUGGGUGACAGAAUUUCCUUUAGAAUCAGUAUUCCCUGAGUCCCAACCCUGUGCUCAUUACUGGUUUAUGUGAUGCAGAAAAUAUCUGUAUCAUUACUGACAAGUUCUUAUUUCUACUAAGUAAAUUAUUUCAGUAUGAAAGUGUGCUUCUCAUGUAACCCUGUACAUUGCGGCAGUGAUGUAUAGGCAGUUCCAAAAAUAUCCACGUUAUUUCUUGUCUUUAAAAUCCCAGUGAGAUCUGCACGGAGUCGCUGCAGAAAGCAUGGCCUGAGGAACAUACGUGGUAUGCAGAGGUCUGCAGCUGGCCUCCAGCAAACCGCCUCUUAUUCCCAGGGAAGGGAUGAAUGAUCCUUGAAUUUGAGACAGGAACCUUCCCCGGGGCUCCAAGACUGAACAGAAUAUCAUUUUCAGAAAGCCAUCAAAUGUCUGCCAUUUGAAAGGUGGGGACUCCCACGAGUAUGACACCAGCGGGCACAGCAGCAAAACCCUUUAUAAGUCAUCAUAAUGACCUCAGCAUGGAUAUGUAUGUGCUGGUUGCUCCUGAACUCUAUCGCAAGGUACAGCAAUGUGACCACAUCAGACUGGGCAUGCAGCAAAAGUAUUUAAUGCUCUCACACAGCAAGACUGCUCACUGAUUCUAGCGUGGCCUGACAACCUUCAUAGAAGUAUGCUAAAUCUAAAACCAGACUUCACUCCGUGGAAUACAUACUCAUUUUCUUGACAUUAUGAUGGUUUCAUUUUUGGGGGUAUUAGUUUUUCUUUGAUCUUGUGUGUGUAUGUGUUGGUAUUUAUGUGGUGGUGGAUAAUUAUUUUGGAGACAUCAUGUAGGAACACUUUGCUUAGGAAGCACAGGCCCAGUCCUCCAUGAAAAGGAAGUCACUGUGUCACAUCCCUCAUGUGGGUGGUACAGCACGAUGGCUAGCCUGUGGGUAAACGGGGUGACUGUGACAUCGGCAGUUGGUUUAGAAUUAAUAAUUUCAACAUGAAAAUGCACGUUUUUACAAAACCACAAAAACCAAAUCCAUAGACUUUCAUUUUGGUAUUCCAUCCCAAAGGCUGACAACCACCAGCAAAUGCAGCACUAUUUUACUGGCCUUUACCAUUACGAUGCAGGAUGGAGUGAGGGAUUGUCAAGGAGAAACUGCCAUCAUGAUUCCCUUAGUGCAGGAGAGAAGAUUAGAGUUGACUGGCUCUAAUCUUAGCACAAGUCACAUCCUUGUGCUUAUCUGAUUUCUUCUUUUUAAUUCAUCUUGAAGUAUUUGCCACUGAGAGAUGUCUGGAGCUUUUGUAGAUGUCAAGUCAUUGAAGGUUUGGAUGGGGUGCUGGACGUCAGUUAAAAAAUGAAGGGCUCCAUUUGAUCCACCAUCCAGAAGUCACCACUUGUGAGUUCCACGUGGCUGAUGCGGAUCACUGUGAUCUCAGGAACAUCACUGGAGACCUUCUCUCCCACGUGACUUGGUCAGUGAUGGUAGGUGUCUGUUGCUGAAUGGCCUCAGAAGCUGGUUUGCUUUGAUGUUACAUGAAAAGCUUACCAAGUGUCACACACCUGAAUACGGUGGCUUUGCAGCCACGUGGAGGAGGAGAGGGUGCCUGGACCUCACCAGGUGUCGCACCGAAAAGCAACCGGUGGCAUUCUGCACAUCUGCGCUCUGCCAUUGGGAUUUGGCUUCGUGUUAUUAAACACAGGGUGGAUAUUUAAAAUGAAAUGCAGUAGCUUGAUACUGAACACUGCGAGGCAAACAGAGGCUUUCCAAACUGAAACAGGUACUU
Aquila chrysaetos chrysaetos is the source of this 3047-nucleotide long non-coding RNA. RefSeq lists it as uncharacterized. Lineage: Eukaryota; Metazoa; Chordata; Aves; Accipitriformes; Accipitridae. The record is from RefSeq and is a predicted model, not a curated record. The transcript has 3 exons.